AACAAAACAUCUCACUAGUCUAGUGGUUGUUAGCUUCAAGUAUUAUGUGAAAGGUCUUGGGUUCAAACUCCCUUGGCUCCGCGAAAUAUUUUUUGACUGUUACGGCUCUUUUACUAGAAAUAGUGACAUCACUUAUGAAAAAUCCUGCGUACGCUACUGAGUGUAUGGUGUAUGUUAUUGUUGUUUUACAUAGCUUAUUAGUAUGUAUAUAUAAGAAAACUGGCAGUUACAUUUCUAAAGCAGCCAAGGAAUUGCCAUUUUAAGACAACUGGUAAAUGUGAGAAUACCAUGUCUUGUUGAUUUGAUAAAGGUUCAUGUUUGGGUUGGUAUAUGUUGUGACUUGUUUAUAUUAUGUUAAACAUGAAGUUGAAUUAUGAGAAUAAGAUGUUUUCUUUUAGUUGUUAUGAAAGCAAUUUUGUGUAUUUUGCUGAAUUUGUGGAUGGCAUUUGUCCGUGGGAGCUUAAAUGUAGAGAUCCGGUUCGAACUCCCUUGGCUCCACAAAAUAUUUUGUAACUGUUACGGCCCUUUUACUAGAAAUAGUGACACCAAUUAUGAAGUCAGGGUACCUCUACAUAUACAACAGUAUCAUUGGACUUGCAUGUUCUAAGGACUUUGCCCUAUCUUGAAAAUAUUUUGAGUUGUCAGUCGAACAAAAGUUUGGGCCACACAUAAGAGCAAUUAUUCCUUGUUUCUUUUUCUAAUCAAAAAGGAAUUAUUUAUUCACUAGG
This 728-nucleotide long non-coding RNA is filed under the name Nicotiana benthamiana. RNAcentral's name for it is "long non-coding RNA (NBEN_LNC041568)". Lineage: Eukaryota; Viridiplantae; Streptophyta; Magnoliopsida; Solanales; Solanaceae. The record is from RNAcentral.